GACGAGCGCUGGCGGCGUGCUUAACACAUGCAAGUCGAACGGAAAGGCCCUGCUUUUGUGGGGUGCUCGAGUGGCGAACGGGUGAGUAACACGUGAGUAACCUGCCCUUGACUUUGGGAUAACUUCAGGAAACUGGGGCUAAUACCGGAUAGGAGCUCCUGCUGCAUGGUGGGGGUUGGAAAGUUUCGGCGGUUGGGGAUGGACUCGCGGCUUAUCAGCUUGUUGGUGGGGUAGUGGCUUACCAAGGCUUUGACGGGUAGCCGGCCUGAGAGGGUGACCGGCCACAUUGGGACUAAGAUACGGCCCAGAACCGUACGGGAGGCAGCAGUGGGGAAUAUUGCAGAAUGGGCGGAAGCCUGAUGCAGCAACGCCGCGUGCGGGAUGACGGCCUUCGGGUUGUAAACCGCUUUCGCCUGUGACGAAGCGUGAGUGACGGUAAUGGGUAAAGAAGCACCGGCUAACUACGUG
This 468-nucleotide ribosomal RNA is filed under the name uncultured bacterium. Its description in RNAcentral is "partial 16S ribosomal RNA". It matches the Rfam family "Bacterial small subunit ribosomal RNA", at positions 28 to 507 of the family's 1533-position model. The record is from RNAcentral.